RNAcentral lists this ribosomal RNA (770 nucleotides) under Staphylococcus lugdunensis. Its description in RNAcentral is "bacterial SSU rRNA". It matches the Rfam family "Bacterial small subunit ribosomal RNA", at positions 1 to 758 of the family's 1533-position model. The record is from RNAcentral. Lineage: Bacteria; Bacillati; Bacillota; Bacilli; Caryophanales; Staphylococcaceae.
CUAGAGUUUGAUCAUGGCUCAGGAUGAACGCUGGCGGCGUGCCUAAUACAUGCAAGUCGAGCGAACGGACGAGAAGCUUGCUUCUCUGAUGUUAGCGGCGGACGGGUGAGUAACACGUGGAUAACCUACCUAUAAGACUGGGAUAACUUCGGGAAACCGGAGCUAAUACCGGAUAAUAUUUUGAACCGCAUGGUUCAAAAGUGAAAGACGGUCUUGCUGUCACUUAUAGAUGGAUCCGCGCUGCAUUAGCUAGUUGGUAAGGUAACGGCUUACCAAGGCAACGAUGCAUAGCCGACCUGAGAGGGUGAUCGGCCACACUGGAACUGAGACACGGUCCAGACUCCUACGGGAGGCAGCAGUAGGGAAUCUUCCGCAAUGGGCGAAAGCCUGACGGAGCAACGCCGCGUGAGUGAUGAAGGUCUUCGGAUCGUAAAACUCUGUUAUUAGGGAAGAACAUAUGUGUAAGUAACUGUGCACAUCUUGACGGUACCUAAUCAGAAAGCCACGGCUAACUACGUGCCAGCAGCCGCGGUAAUACGUAGGUGGCAAGCGUUAUCCGGAAUUAUUGGGCGUAAAGCGCGCGUAGGCGGUUUUUUAAGUCUGAUGUGAAAGCCCACGGCUCAACCGUGGAGGGUCAUUGGAAACUGGAAAACUUGAGUGCAGAAGAGGAAAGUGGAAUUCCAUGUGUAGCGGUGAAAUGCGCAGAGAUAUGGAGGAACACCAGUGGCGAAGGCGACUUCUGGUCGUAACUACGCUAGCGACGUGCGGGG